GCUUAACACAUGCAAGUCGAACGAUGAAGCCUAGCUUGCUAGGUGGAUUAGUGGCGAACGGGUGAGUAAUACGUGAGUAACCUACCUUUAACUCUGGGAUAAGCCCGGGAAACUGGGUCUAAUACCGGAUACGACCAAUCUCCGCAUGGGGUGUUGGUGGAAAGCGUUAUGUAGUGGUUAUAGAUGGGCUCACGGCCUAUCAGCUUGUUGGUGAGGUAACGGCUCACCAAGGCGACGACGGGUAGCCGGCCUGAGAGGGUGACCGGCCACACUGGGACUGAGACACGGCCCAGACUCCUACGGGAGGCAGCAGUGGGGAAUAUUGCACAAUGGGCGCAAGCCUGAUGCAGCGACGCCGCGUGAGGGAUGACGGCCUUCGGGUUGUAAACCUCUGUUAGCAGGGAAGAAGAGAGAUUGACGGUACCUGCAGAGAAAGCGCCGGCUAACUACGUGCCAGCAGCCGCGGUAAUACGUAGGGCGCGAGCGUUGUCCGGAAUUAUUGGGCGUAAAGAGCUUGUAGGCGGUUUGUCGCGUCUGCUGUGAAAGGCCGGAGCUUAACUCCGUGUAUUGCAGUGGGUACGGGCAGACUAGAGUGCAGUAGGGGAGACUGGAAUUCCUGGUGUAGCGGUGGAAUGCGCAGAUAUCAGGAGGAACACCGAUGGCGAAGGCAGGUCUCUGGGCUGUAACUGACGCUGAGAAGCGAAAGCAUGGGGAGCGAACAGGAUUAGAUACCCUGGUAGUCCAUGCCGUAAACGUUGGGCACUAGGUGUGGGGGACAUUCCACGUUUUCCGCGCCGUAGCUAACGCAUUAAGUGCCCCGCCUGGGGAGUACGGCCGCAAGGCUAAAACUC
Molecule: ribosomal RNA, 851 nt
Filed under: Rothia mucilaginosa
Lineage: Bacteria; Bacillati; Actinomycetota; Actinomycetes; Micrococcales; Micrococcaceae
Description: bacterial SSU rRNA
Rfam family: Bacterial small subunit ribosomal RNA
Source: RNAcentral